This is a long non-coding RNA of Uranotaenia lowii, 647 nucleotides long. RefSeq lists it as uncharacterized. The record is from RefSeq and is a predicted model, not a curated record. The transcript is spliced from 4 exons. NCBI's taxonomy places the organism in Eukaryota, Metazoa, Arthropoda, Insecta, Diptera, Culicidae.
UUGCUAUUUAUUUUAGUUCAUUACAGUAGCACGGACACGAACCACGGUCGUAAUUUGCUCAAUUUCAGCAGUGUCAGAUCAGUUUGCCCAAAAUGGCGAUGUUGUGUUUUGCAUCGGGAGUUUGCAGCACGUCAUUUUUUAUAAAGUUCUAGGAAAAUAUAAAAAAAAGGACUUUGAUGCAAAUUCAAUUGCAUUUUUGGGGCUACGAACUAUAGCCGUAGGAACGUGCAAAAAGGCAGUAAUGUCUUCCGAUAGCGAGUCCGGGUCCGGAUAUACAACUUAUUUCCAUUCAGAGAUUCAGCAUAUUGAAUUGGACGCCCGCCAAGCCCUGGAAGAAUAUUUCGACCAGUCUGCCGGAAUUGUUGGAAGUAACCGGCCUCGGUGGAAUCACUGCCACUGUUCCAAACUACGGCCUGAAGUACCGAACUUUUGGUGAAGCGACAUUUCAAGCGACCGCCGAUGGGAGUGCUAAGCUAAGAGACCCCAAGCACCGUUGCCGAGCCCACAAUGGCUGCUGUGCCAGCGACCUCUGUCAAAUGAUUGUUUUUCUGGCCGACCGCAAACACCCCCCUGAUGCCGGAUGAAACAGUAAUUAUUGCUCAAGGCCCGAAUUCGGAUGUUCACAGUGGUGUGGGUGACGCAGUUGA